UUUAACAUGCAGUCGAGCGGUAACAGACAUAAAGAUUCAGCUUGCUGAAUCCGGUGCUGACGAGCGGCGAACGGGUGAGUAACGCGUAGGAAUCUACCCAGUAGCGGGGGAUAGCCCGGGGAAACCCGGAUUAAUACCGCAUACGCCCUAAGGGGGAAAGGAGGCAGCUUGCUGCUUUCACUAUUGGAUGAGCCUGCGUAAGAUUAGCUUGUUGGUGGGGUAAAGGCCUACCAAGGCAACGAUCUUUAGCUGGUCUGAGAGGACGAUCAGCCACAUUGGGACUGAGACACGGCCCAGACAUCUACGGAUGGCAGCAGUUAAGAACAUUGGACAAUGGGGGCAACCCUGAUCCAGGUAUACCGCGUGUGUGAAGAAGGCCUUAGGGUUGUAAAGCACUUUAAUCAGAGAAGAAGCAUUUUAAGUUAAUACCUUAAUUUGUUGACGUUACCUGAAGAAUAAGGACCGGCUAACUCCGUGCCAGCAGCCGCGGUAAUACGGAGGGUCCAAGCGUUAAUCGGAAUUACUGGGCGUAAAGCGUGCGUAGGCGGUUUAGCAAGUUGAAUGUGAAAGCCCUGGGCUCAACCUAGGAACUGCAUUCAAAACUACUAAGCUAGAGUACGAGAGAGGAGAGUAGAAUUUCUGGUGUAGCGGUGAAAAUGCGUAGAUAUCAGAAGGAAUACCAAUGGCGAAGGCAGCUCUCUGGCUCGUCACUGACGCUAAGGUGCGAAGGCGUGGG
Molecule: ribosomal RNA, 736 nt
Filed under: uncultured marine bacterium
Lineage: Bacteria
Description: bacterial SSU rRNA
Rfam family: Bacterial small subunit ribosomal RNA
Source: RNAcentral